RNAcentral lists this ribosomal RNA (301 nucleotides) under uncultured bacterium. Its description in RNAcentral is "partial 16S ribosomal RNA". It matches the Rfam family "Bacterial small subunit ribosomal RNA", at positions 509 to 809 of the family's 1533-position model. The record is from RNAcentral.
CAGUCGCCGCGGUAAUACGGAGGAUCCAAGCGUUAUCCGGAUUUAUUGGGUUUAAAGGGUGCGUAGGCGGCUUUUUAAGUCAGGGGUGAAAGACGGUAGCUUAACUAUCGCAGUGCCCUUGAUACUGAAGAGCUUGAAUAUAGUUGAGGUAGGCGGAAUGUGACAAGUAGCGGUGAAAUGCAUAGAUAUGUCACAGAACACCAAUUGCGAAGGCAGCUUACUAAGCUAUGAUUGACGCUGAGGCACGAAAGCGUGGGGAUCAAACAGGAUUAGAUACCCCCGUAGUCCCUGUCUCUUAUAA